GUAAGGAAUAUUGGUCAAUGGACGCAAGUCUGAACCAGCCAUGCCGCGUGAAGGAUGAAGGUCCUCUGGAUUGUAAACUUCUUUUAUUUGGGAAGAAAUCCACGGUUUCUACUGUGGUUGACGGUACCAGAUGAAUAAGCACCGGCUAACUCCGUGCCAGCAGCCGCGGUAAUACGGAGGGUGCAAGCGUUAUCCGGAUUCACUGGGUUUAAAGGGUGCGUAGGCGGGCAGGUAAGUCAGUGGUGAAAUCCCCGAGCUUAACUUGGGAACUGCCGUUGAUACUAUCUGUCUUGAAUACUGUGGAGGUAAGCGGAAUAUGUCAUGUAGCGGUGAAAUGCUUAGAUAUGACAUAGAACACCGAUUGCGAAGGCAGCUUGCUACACAGUGAUUGACGCUGAGGCACGAAAGCGUGGGGAUCAAACAGGAUUAGAAACCCUAGUAGUCC
This 445-nucleotide ribosomal RNA is filed under the name uncultured bacterium. RNAcentral's name for it is "bacterial SSU rRNA". It matches the Rfam family "Bacterial small subunit ribosomal RNA", at positions 354 to 796 of the family's 1533-position model. The record is from RNAcentral.